Molecule: ribosomal RNA, 267 nt
Filed under: uncultured bacterium
Lineage: Bacteria
Description: partial 16S ribosomal RNA
Rfam family: Bacterial small subunit ribosomal RNA
Source: RNAcentral
GACGAACGCUGGCGGCGUGCUUAACACAUGCAAGUCGAGCGGUAAGGCCCUUUCGGGGGUACGACGAGCGGCGAACGGGUGAGUAACACGUGGGUGACCUGCCCUCAGCUCUGGGAUAAGACCCGGGAAACUGGGUCUAAUACCGGAUAUGACUUCAUGACGCAUGUUGUGGAGUGGAAAGCCUUGUGCGGCUGAGGAUGGGCCCGCGGCCUAUCAGCUUGUUGGUGGGGUGAGGCCUACCAAGGCGACGACGGGUAGCCGGCCUGA